GCGGUUCGGGCAGCUUGGUCAUGUGCGCGUGUUACGCGAAGAUGGGGUGCAGGAAGACGGUGAUUUUUGUGUGUAUUUUGCUCACGGUUGACAUUUUUUCACUUUUUAGAUUUUGACUGCCAUCCCAUGGGUGCACAGGUGCAGUGCUGGGGGACUGGACAUGCAGUGCGUUGGCGCCGACUUGCAUUCACGGACAAAAAUGUGGAUUUAUUUUUUAAGUCCCUCGUCACUGUAAUUUGUGUGUGUUUGUAUUGUGGAUUAAAAAGAGGACCAUUGCAGUUCGUUCGCCCUGUCUCGUAGUCCAGAGAAGUAUAGAUUGCAACUCUAUUGUAAACGUGCAUUGAAGACAACAACACAUUUUUCAAGUGUAGCUCACUUGUUUCAUCGAGGUUCACUUUUCAUAAAGUAUUGCGGUUCACCAACACUCGACAUGAAGUGCACU
RNAcentral lists this long non-coding RNA (442 nucleotides) under Triticum aestivum (bread wheat). RNAcentral's name for it is "long non-coding RNA (TAES_LNC007516)". Lineage: Eukaryota; Viridiplantae; Streptophyta; Magnoliopsida; Poales; Poaceae. The record is from RNAcentral.